UGGGGAAUAUUGCGCAAUGGGCGAAAGCCUGACGCAGCGACGCCGCGUGGGGGAUGAAGGCCUUCGGGUUGUAAACCUCUUUCACCACCGACGAAGCUAACGUGACGGUAGGUGGGGAAGAAGCGCCGGCUAACUACGUGCCAGCAGCCGCGGUAAUACGUAGGGCGCAAGCGUUGUCCGGAAUUAUUGGGCGUAAAGAGCUCGUAGGCGGUCUGUUGCGUCUGCCGUGAAAACCCGAGGCUUAACCUCGGGCCUGCGGUGGAUACGGGCAGACUAGAGGUAGGUAGGGGAGAAUGGAAUUCCCGGUGUAGCGGUGAAAUGCGCAGAUAUCGGGAGGAACACCGGUGGCGAAGGCGGUUCUCUGGGCCUUACCUGACGCUGAGGAGCGAAAGCAUGGGGAGCGAACAGGAUUAGAUACCCCCGUAGUCC
This 429-nucleotide ribosomal RNA is filed under the name uncultured bacterium. Its description in RNAcentral is "bacterial SSU rRNA". It matches the Rfam family "Bacterial small subunit ribosomal RNA", at positions 355 to 796 of the family's 1533-position model. The record is from RNAcentral.